AAUGAUGGGUUUAUUAUUUGUGCUGAAUAACCUAUGAAAAUGUGACUAUUUUAGUCAUAUAAUUUGGUAUUUUUGAUGGGUUUGUUGGUCUAUAUGAUUAAAUAGAUGCAGGUAUUAGUUGACUCUAUUUAUUUGCCUUUUUGGGAUAAAAUCACUAAGUCAGAGGAUGAGGAGCUACUGGAUUCUUUUUGGAAGAUUUAUUCAAAGGUUUUGAAGAAUAGAGAGGAUCAUGAGAUUUUAUUUUGUUGGAUUUGAUUUGAUUGUAAAUAUAUUUUUUCAGUUUCCUUUGAAANNNNN
RNAcentral lists this long non-coding RNA (297 nucleotides) under Jatropha curcas. Its description in RNAcentral is "long non-coding RNA (JCUR_LNC002538)". The record is from RNAcentral. Lineage: Eukaryota; Viridiplantae; Streptophyta; Magnoliopsida; Malpighiales; Euphorbiaceae.